CAUUCACGGAGAGUUUGAUCCUGGCUCAGGACGAACGCUGGCGGCGUGCUUAACACAUGCAAGUCGAACGAUGAAAUCACUUCGGUGGUGGAUUAGUGGCGAACGGGUGAGUAACACGUGGGCAAUCUGCCCUUCACUCUGGGACAAGCCCUGGAAACGGGGUCUAAUACCGGAUAACACUCUGUCCCGCAUGGGACGGGGUUGAA
RNAcentral lists this ribosomal RNA (206 nucleotides) under Streptomyces parvus. RNAcentral describes it as "partial 16S ribosomal RNA". It matches the Rfam family "Bacterial small subunit ribosomal RNA", at positions 1 to 205 of the family's 1533-position model. Lineage: Bacteria; Bacillati; Actinomycetota; Actinomycetes; Kitasatosporales; Streptomycetaceae. The record is from RNAcentral.